AGCUUGCUUCUAUCAAUCUUAGUGGCGAACGGGUGAGUAACGCGUAAUCAACCUGCCCUUCAGAGGGGGACAACAGUUGGAAACGACUGCUAAUACCGCAUACAAUCUAACCUCGGCAUCGAGGAUAGAUGAAAGGUGGCCCCUAUUUAUAAGCUAUCACUGAAGGAGGGGAUUGCGUCUGAUUAGCUAGUUGGAGGGGUAACGGCCCACCAAGGCGAUGAUCAGUAGCCGGUCUGAGAGGAUGAACGGCCACAUUGGGACUGAGACACGGCCCAGACUCCUACGGGAGGCAGCAGUGGGGAAUCUUCCGCAAUGGACGAAAGUCUGACGGAGCAACGCCGCGUGAGCGAUGACGGCCUUCGGGUUGUAAAGCUCUGUUAAUCGGGACGAAAGGCCUUCUUGCGAAUAGUUAGAAGGAUUGACGGUACCGGAAUAGAGAGCCACGGCUAACUACGUGCCAGCAGCCGCGGUAAUACGUAGGUGGCAAGCGUUGUCCGGAAUUAUUGGGCGUAAAGCGCGCGCAGGGCGGAUUGGUCAGUCUGUCUUUAAAAGUUCGGGGCUUAACCCCGUGAUGGGAUGGAAACUGCCAAUCUAGAGUAUCGGAGAGGAAAGUGGAAUUCCUAGUGUAGCGGUAAAAUGCGUAGAUAUUAGGAAGAACCCCAGUGGCGAAGGCGACUUUCUGGACGAAAACACACGAUGAGGCGCGAAAGCCAGGGGAGCGAACGAGAUUAGAUACCCCGGUAGU
RNAcentral lists this ribosomal RNA (745 nucleotides) under uncultured organism. RNAcentral's name for it is "SSU rRNA". It matches the Rfam family "Bacterial small subunit ribosomal RNA", at positions 77 to 794 of the family's 1533-position model. The record is from RNAcentral.